AUUUAUUGAAAGCAACACACCAUACUUAUAGAUAGGUUGUUUUUCGUCAUUAUGCUGUUUUGGGAGUUUCCAGUUACAAGCUUGUUUUUUCUACCUUACACAUUGCUGAAGCAGAUGUAAAUUUGAACAAGUUAUUGACUGCAUCCAACAUGGAGUAAUUUUUUACUAUCUAGCGUGGAAUCCUGGUGUUAUUUAAUGUUUUGUGUCUCUUAGUACUCCUUAUACAGUAUAUUAAAGUUAAGGUAGCAACUAAUAAUGAAAUUAUGUUGCCAGGGAACAGCAGUACGGCACUACUUUUGCCAACAGCCAUUUUAAACAUUACCAGCUUCAGAGUAACUGACAAGCACAGAAACAACAGAAAUUUACAGUGUGCAAGUUGCACAUUCACAGGAUUAUACUCCAACGUCUGAGUGAAUUUAUAAAGUUUUAGUGAAUUUAAUCCAAAUUGCCAAAAAAAAAAAAAGCUUAUGUAGAAAACAAAAAGUCAUAGCUCAGCUGUCUUAGACUGAAUUUUACAGUUUGGAUUUAAUCCUCUAAAAUUCAGAGUUUAAGGAAUAACCCUCUAAGUCUGACUUGUCAACCAACUUUUGAAAGAAGGAUGGAUAAAAGAAGUUGUUUUAAUUCAGUGUUGGAUGACUGAACGAUUAAAGGGAUUCUACAGUGCCAGGAAAACAAACACAUUUUCCUGGCACUAUAGAUUUCUCCUCUGUCAAGGUCCCCUCCCAAGGCACUGAAGGGGUUAAUAGCUCCUUCAGUCACUUACCUGGGUCCAGCGCUGAUGUCCCUCGUCGCUGGCUCAGCUUCACCCACGCUCCUCCCCCGCCGAAGUCCACCGGCAGAGGAGACCUAAUGAGCAUGGGCGGCAAUGGCCGCGCUUGCAUUAGGAUCUCCCCAUAGGAAAGUAU
Non-coding RNA from Pelobates cultripes (western spadefoot toad), 905 nucleotides. NCBI's taxonomy places the organism in Eukaryota, Metazoa, Chordata, Amphibia, Anura, Pelobatidae. The record is from the annotation of a GenBank genome assembly.